Taeniopygia guttata (zebra finch) is the source of this 355-nucleotide non-coding RNA. NCBI's taxonomy places the organism in Eukaryota, Metazoa, Chordata, Aves, Passeriformes, Estrildidae. The record is from RefSeq and is a predicted model, not a curated record.
GCCGCCAUCUUGUACGGAUUGAAAAAAUUCCCUCUCACUGAUUGCGGGCGCCGCCAUCUUGGGUACGGCGGCUCAGCCAAUCAGCGCCCGAGCGUCCCGUUGCCAUAGCGACAGGGGGCGGGGCCAAGGGCCGGCAGCCGCCGAGGGAUUUGGGGGCGAUUUUGGGCUCCGGGACCCCCAAAUGGCCGCUGGAGACCCCGGUCGGGCCCGGCCCCAGAACGACCCCGGGACCCCCCGAGACCCCCGGCAGGAGCAGCUCAGGGCUCUCCGGGGCUCUCUGGGGCGGCUGCGGCUGCGGGGGGAGGAGGCGCAGAGGAUGGAACGGCUCUACCGGAACCUGAGGGGCGCCGCACAG